This is a non-coding RNA of Paramuricea clavata, 93 nucleotides long. The record is from the annotation of a GenBank genome assembly. NCBI's taxonomy places the organism in Eukaryota, Metazoa, Cnidaria, Anthozoa, Malacalcyonacea, Plexauridae.
CAAUGCUCUUCCAACUGAGCUACGCGGUCAGGACGGUUCGAGUAAGUGAUAUUUCGGAACAGAACCGCGUAGCUCAGUUGGAAGAGCAUUGGU